This is a long non-coding RNA of Clarias gariepinus (North African catfish), 545 nucleotides long. RefSeq lists it as uncharacterized. The record is from RefSeq and is a predicted model, not a curated record. The transcript is spliced from 4 exons. NCBI's taxonomy places the organism in Eukaryota, Metazoa, Chordata, Actinopteri, Siluriformes, Clariidae.
UGAGGAUGUAAAUAGUCAGAUUUUUGGAAGAGUUUUUCGCCUAUACUGUUUCACUUUACUUCUUUCUUUUUUUGGUCUGGUGUGAGGAGACACUGGAGAAUUCGAAGAGCUUGUUUUUGUGACGCUUCUUUGCGGAGGACAGUCUUUUACUUUCCAAUUUAAGGAAUGGAUGUAAGAGUUAUGACUCUAAACAUAAGUGCAGAACACGGAAAUUAUACAGAUAUCGAGAUGAAUUCUGUAUAUUGGAUACCUUUUAAAAUCUCAGCCGCUUCCUGAACACGACAUGACUACACGUUCUCACAGGUGGUUGCUGUCCAGAUGUGUACCCUGUGAUUCAGAUGGUCGUCUUUUGGCCCUGGAGGAAGGUUUUAAAUUUAUUCAACCUUCCAGAUGAUGAUGUGAGACAGUCAGUGGAGGAGACUGAAUCUGUACAUCUCCAGAGUUCAGUGCGUCCGUUCUACUCUGAUCACGAUACCUACGACCCGUAAGACCCUGGUGAAAAGGGUCAGUAUAUAGAGAUGACAAGUAACUACACCAUUACUGUG